GCCCCUAUAGCUCAGCUGGAUAGAGCAACGGACUUCUAAUCCGUAGGUCGCGCGUUCGAAUCGUGCUGGGGGCA
Molecule: transfer RNA, 74 nt
Filed under: Cellulomonadaceae bacterium
Lineage: Bacteria; Bacillati; Actinomycetota; Actinomycetes; Micrococcales; Cellulomonadaceae
Description: tRNA-Arg
Rfam family: tRNA
About the family: Transfer RNA (tRNA) molecules are approximately 80 nucleotides in length. Their secondary structure includes four short double-helical elements and three loops (D, anti-codon, and T loops).
Source: RNAcentral